RNAcentral lists this ribosomal RNA (377 nucleotides) under uncultured bacterium. RNAcentral's name for it is "bacterial SSU rRNA". It matches the Rfam family "Bacterial small subunit ribosomal RNA", at positions 523 to 898 of the family's 1533-position model. The record is from RNAcentral.
AUACGGAGGGUGCGAGCGUUAUUCGGAAUUACUGGGCGUAAAGCGCGUGUAGGCGGGGAUGCAAGUCUGAUGUGAAAGCCCUGGGCUUAACCUGGGAAGUGCAUUGGAAACUGCAUUUCUUGAGUACUGGAGAGGAAGGGGGAAUUCCCGGUGUAGAGGUGAAAUUCGUAGAGAUCGGGAGGAAUACCAGUGGCGUAGGCGCCCUUCUGGACGGUAACUGACGCUGAGACGCGAAAGCGUGGGGAGCAAACAGGAUUAGAUACCCUGGUAGUCCACGCUGUAAACGAUGAUCACUAGGUGUAGCGGGUACUCAUUCCUGCUGUGCCGUAGCUAACGCGUUAAGUGAUCCGCCUGGGGAUUACGGUCGCAAGACUAAA